CUAAAUUACUGCUAUGAAUUUCACAGUACACGCUUUCAAAAGCAGUCUCAGGUGGCCUGAUGAAACGUGAUAGCGCCUCUGCAAACAGAUCCACUUUCUUUCUUUUCAAGAGGGUGUGUGUGCGCGUAUGGGAAGCCCCCCAAAACGUUGUGCUCCUCGAUAACAGAAACACACUUCUGUUCCGAGGUCUGUCCCCUUCUUCCUCCCCCCCUUUCGUCGUACUUAAUUCUCGAAUCGCUCCCCGGCCUCUCUCCCCCCUCCACGCUGCCCCACCCCAUCCGCCCCCUCCCUUUGCGAGUGUGAUUGUUUUGUCUGGAAAAAAAAAAUCCAAAGUAUAUAACAAGGGGAGAACAGUUAGUGCUGAUUUUCAUUUGCAUACAUUUUCAUAUAUUUUGGUGAAAAUAAUAGACUAGUGGAGAGCUGGGCUUCGAGGCGUCAGUGUGAAGGGAAGGCUAAGGACGCAUCGGUGCUGGAGAGUUGAGAAUAUGCCUUCCCCUCCACCCCCAACCCAGUCACCUUAUUUGAAAAAAAAUUAAAAAACACCUUUUAUUUAAAAACCUAACCCUGGAAGUUUGCUCGGAAAAUGGAAAUCAACAUUUGAAACUUUUAAAUGGAAGCUUUAUUGGGGUUCCACAUAUGGAAAACUGCAAAUAGCAGAAGUAUGUGACUCAAUAAAUUAUUCUGGAGUGACCACAUCCUCUAACUGCCUCCCAGGACAAGACGGAGAAUGUGAACAAUGCUCCUGAAGGCCCCUUUCCCUCAAAGAAUCACUGCAAUUGAAGGAAAAAUGCUCCAUGUCCCCUCUGCCAGUUGGUGUUUAUCAAAGGACAACGGAGGAAGAGAGACAAAGUGCCUGGAUGUGUGUGUUAAUCAAGAGUUGUCAGGACCCUGCCUCUAAAAGAAAGCGCUAAAAUGAUGCUUUUGACAAGACUUUUCUCAAAGUGGAUGCAGUCUAAGGGUUGGAAAACAAGGCCCAAUCAGGCUAGGUCUGACUUGUCGCCUGCUUUUGUAAAUAAAGUU
This 1020-nucleotide long non-coding RNA is filed under the name Homo sapiens (human). Its description in RNAcentral is "HSALNT0304662". The record is from RNAcentral. Lineage: Eukaryota; Metazoa; Chordata; Mammalia; Primates; Hominidae.